Anas platyrhynchos (mallard) is the source of this 315-nucleotide non-coding RNA. The record is from RefSeq and is a predicted model, not a curated record. NCBI's taxonomy places the organism in Eukaryota, Metazoa, Chordata, Aves, Anseriformes, Anatidae.
GCUGGGCUUGUUCAGCCUGGAGAAGAGGAGGCUCAGGGGCGACCUUAUUGCUCUCUACAGAGCCUCAGUUUAAGAACUGCAAACCCUACUGCAAGACAGAAAACUGAAUGUAAAGCAGUGCACUGAAUGCAAGUAAUCAAAAGCUAUUGUGUAAAAUGGCACACCCAAUAUCACAGGCUGAAAAUUGUUUAGUUGUAUUCACUUACUCUAUCUCUUUCCAGGGAACAGCAACAUAGGAACAUUGCAGUCUGUUGUUGACUCUCAGAUAAACAGUCUUAACACUAAUCAUUAAAAUAAAAGUUUUUAAUUUAAAGA